This 72-nucleotide transfer RNA is filed under the name Sarcophilus harrisii (Tasmanian devil). It matches the Rfam family "tRNA". Rfam says of the family: Transfer RNA (tRNA) molecules are approximately 80 nucleotides in length. Lineage: Eukaryota; Metazoa; Chordata; Mammalia; Dasyuromorphia; Dasyuridae. The record is from Rfam by way of RNAcentral.
GGUGCGAUGGCUAAGUAGUAAAAGCAAUGGCUUUGGAGUCAGAAGGUGUAGGUUAGAAUCCUGACCCUACCA